UCCAGACUCCUACGGGAGGCAGCAGUGGGGAAUAUUGCACAAUGGGGGAAACCCUGAUGCAGCGACGCCGCGUGAAGGAAGAAGUAUUUCGGUAUGUAAACUUCUAUCAGCAGGGAAGAAAAUGACGGUACCUGACCAAAAAGCCCCGGCUAACUACGUGCCAGCAGCCGCGGUAAUACGUAGGGGGCAAGCGUUAUCCGGAUUUACUGGGUGUAAAGGGAGCGUAGGUGGCAAGGCAAGUCAGAAGUGAAACCCUCGGGCUCAACCUGAGGCAUGCUUUUGAAACUGUCAAGCUGGAGUGCUGGAGAGGUAAGCGGAAUUCCUAGUGUAGCGGUGAAAUGCGUAGAUAUUAGGAGGAACACCGGUGGCGAAGGCGGCUUACUGGACAGUAACUGACACUGAGGCUCGAAAGCGUGGGGAGCAAACAGGAUUAGAUACCCGUGUAAC
RNAcentral lists this ribosomal RNA (447 nucleotides) under uncultured bacterium. RNAcentral describes it as "bacterial SSU rRNA". It matches the Rfam family "Bacterial small subunit ribosomal RNA", at positions 330 to 794 of the family's 1533-position model. The record is from RNAcentral.